RNAcentral lists this RNase P RNA (450 nucleotides) under Anaerolineales bacterium. RNAcentral describes it as "RNase P RNA component class A". It matches the Rfam family "Bacterial RNase P class A". From Rfam's summary of the family: Ribonuclease P (RNase P) is a ubiquitous endoribonuclease, found in archaea, bacteria and eukarya as well as chloroplasts and mitochondria. Lineage: Bacteria; Bacillati; Chloroflexota; Anaerolineae; Anaerolineales. The record is from RNAcentral.
CAGGCUGGUUGGGCAGUCGCGGUCCUGCGUUGUCGGGAUCGAGGAAAGUCCGCACUCCAUAAAGCACGGCGUCGGAUAGCAACCGGGGCGGGGAACCGCCCGCAUUUAUUGCGAGGCGCGAACCUGCCGGAAAAGGGCCACAGAAACAAACAGCUGUUUCCAUCCUUCGGGAUGAAGCAGUGAUGGUGAAAAGGUGGUGUAAGAGACCACCGGCGUCUGCCGUAAUGCAGAUGGCCAGGUAACCCCCGCCGGGAGCAAGGCCAAGCAGAGGCGAAAUCGUCUGUGGACGAUGGGAGACUGCUCGUCUCCGCAUGUGCCUUUCCCUCUUGUGGGAAAGGCCAGCCUCGGGUAGGCUGCACCGAGCGAUGUGGUGACACAUCGCCCAGAGAGAUGACUGCACAGGUGGAGCGAUCCACCGGACAGAAUGCGGCUUAUAGACCAGCCUGAGGU